GCCUACUUGGUGUAGUGGUCAGCACGCUCGACGCAUAACCGAGAAGUCCGUGGUUCGAUUCCCGGCGAAGGCG
Molecule: non-coding RNA, 73 nt
Organism: Stegodyphus mimosarum
Lineage: Eukaryota; Metazoa; Arthropoda; Arachnida; Araneae; Eresidae
Source: Rfam